UCUUCCCUGCUUAAAACACAUUCGAAAUAAAAUCCAAAGUCCAUGCCAUGUUGUGUGCAAAGUUUUAUAUUGCCUGUAAUUUACUUCAAAACACUUCAGUAUCAGCUGUGUAAUAUACCUUGUUUAAUCUAUUCUAAGAUGCAUAUUUUUCCACUUUUUAUCACCUCUGAAAUUGGGGUGAAUUUUACCAUUAAUGGUAUGUCAUAGUUUGAUGGAAAGCAAUUUUUCUUUCUUGUUGCAUGAAAGAAUGAUUGGCCUUACAACCUGUGGACAUCUUGGGUUCAUAGAAUCAUUGAUUUAAUUAAAUGUAUCAGUAUAAAAAAUAAUCUCUUGAAAUAUUGGUCUAGGAUGGGGGCAGUGGAGGUAGAAAGAAGGAAUGGAUUUAGUUUUUUUUUUUUUUUUUUUUUUUUUAGGGCCUCAUCUUCGACAUAUGGAAGUUCCCAGGCUAGGGUACAAAUGGGAGCUGUAGCCACUGGCCAACACACAGCUACAGCAAUGCCAGAUCCAAGCCAUGUCUGCAACCCACACCACACCUCACAGCAACGCUGGAUCCUUAACCCACUGUGGGAGGCCUGGGAUCGAACCCUCAUCCUCAUAGAUACUAGUUGGUUCUUAACUCACUGAGCCACUGACAGGAACUCCCUAGUUUAUCCAUAUUGAUAAACUAUUUAUACAACUCAUUGUAAAUUAGUUUUUAUUCACACUCUGAGGGUGGUUAGUUAGCAUUUGAAUUGUCCUAUUCAGGAAUGUCUACUCAGGAGUGGUUAGUUAGCGUUUGAAAGAUCCUAGCCAACAGCUUGACUGCAACCUCAGGAGAGACUCUCAGUCAGAACUAGCCAAGGAACCUACUCCCAGAUUCCUGACACACAGAAAUUAUGUGAGAUAAUACGUUUGUUUGUUUGUUUUUCCUAACAGUAGUUAAUUUACAAUGUUGUGCCAAUUUCUGCUGUACGUCAUAGUGACCCAGGCAUAUAUAUAUGUUUAUAUAUAUUUAUAAGGACACCAAUCAUAUUGGAUUAGAAGCCCACCCUACUCCAGUAUGACUCCAUUUUAACCAAUUACGUCCAAAUAAGGCUGCAUUCUAUGGUACUGGGGGUUCUGCAUAUGAGUUUUUGAGGAGACACAAUUCUACUCAUAACACUGGUUUUCUGGAGUUCCCACUGUGGUGCAACAAGAUUGGCAGCAUCUUGGGAGCACUGGGAAGCCGGUUCAAUCCCAAACCCAGCACAGGUUUAAGAAUCUGGCAUCUGCAGUUUAGGUUGCAACUAUGGCUCAGAUGUGAUCCCUGGGCCGGGCACUCCAUUUGCCUGGGGGUGGCCAAAAAAGAAAACAAACAAAAACAAAAAACAAAAACAAACAAAAAAUCCACUGGCCUUCUUGCUGUUCUUCUAGCACACCGAACUCAUUUCCGCCUCAGGUUCUUUAUAUGUAUUAGUUUUCUGUCUAGAACCCCAAAGAAGCAUGGCUGUUCCCUUCUCAGCAUGCAGGUAUCAUGUCAUAUGACAUCCCUUCACAGAGGUCUUCCCUGACUAUCCUGUCCUAUUCUGACUAUGCCCUUCCACCACAUACAACAUCAUCUCAUCCCUUGCCUCUUUCAAAUUUCUUCGUACUCAUCAUUAAUGGAAAUAAAUUCCUUUUUACUUGCUUUUAUCUGUCUCUACCACCAGAAAAUAAAUUUCAUAAGGACAGGGAGCUUAUCCAUCUUAUUUACUGCUGUAUCAUCAGCUCCUAGCACAGUACCUGUUAGUAAUUUUUUUUUUUUUUUUUUUUUUUGCUUUUUAGGGCAUCACCUGUGGCAUAUGGAAAUUCCCAGGCCAGGGGUCAAAUUGGAGCUGCAGCUGCCGGCCCUACACCACAGCCACAGCAACAUGGGAUCCAAGUUGUGUCUGAGACUUAUACUACAGCUCAUGGCAAUGCCAGAUCCCUGACCCACUGAGCAAGGCCAGGGAUUGAACCCUCAUUCUCAUGGAUACUAGCUGGGAUUCGUUUUUGCUGUGCCACAAUGGGAACUCCCUGUUAGUAAAUAUUUAAUAAAUGUUGAGUGAACAUUGAACGAGUGAAUGCAUACUUUAUUGAUUCUCUGAUUUCAUCUCUGGAAAUCCCAGUAGAAUCAAGUUUUCCUUGAGAAAAUGAAAUUUACCCCAAGUUCUUCAAGAUAUUCAUUUUCCCCCUUGGAAAUGAACUAAUUUAUAACCCAGUUAUAAAGCAAUAAAAUAAUAUGACUCCUCUCCUCCAAUGUUAACCUGUUUUCCCUCUAUUUGUACUACCAGGAAGCCACCUGAGGGCAGCAAAAAAUCAGUGGUCAGUUCCAAGACAGAGGCCCAUUUUCAAUCCUUCCUCCACCGGCCCUCUCUCCAGCCUAGCUAGUUUUUUCUAGUAAGCACAUGUUAAGGGGCCUAGCUGGACUAUCUGUUGGGUAAGACUGCAAUUAGUAAUCUCAAUUGGAAGUCGGCUCACUUCCUUGGCAUUUUCUGAGCCAGCCGAUUGAAUGAAAACGGAUCCUCUAUUUUUCCUAACAGGAAAUGAACUGAUUUAUAACCCAGUUAUAAAAGUAUAAAAUAGUAUUACUCCUCUCUACUACAUUUUGUUCCUUGAAGUUUUUUUUAAAGAACUGUCUACUUUGAUUUCUGAUCUGCCACCUACCUGCCAGCUUUCAGCCGUAUGACCUCUAGCAGGUGAUAAGAUGAUCUCUUGGGGGUUUUUAAAUAAUUAUUUAUUUUCAUAUUUCCUUAACAAUCAAAAGAGCAUUCUAACCUGGAAUCUUUGAUGUUUAUUCACCUAAACUCAAGCUUUUCCUUUAACUAAAAAACAACAACAACAACAACAACAACAACAAAAUGAGUGGGGAGUUCCCAUUGUGGUUCAGUGGGUUAAGAAUCUGUGAGGAUGGGGAGUUCCCGUUGUGGCGCAGUGGUUAACGAAUCCGACUAGGAACCAUGAGGUUGCGGGUUCGGUCCCUGCCCUUGCUCAGUGGGUUAACGAUCCGGUGUUGCCGUGAGCUGUGGUGUAGGUUGCAGACGCGGCUCGGAUCCCGCGUUGCUGUGGCUCUGGUGUAGGCCGGUGGCUACAGCUCUGAUUCAACCCCUAGCCUGGGAACCUCCAUAUGCCGCGGGAGCGGCCCAAGAAAUAUCAACAACAACAACAACAAAAGACAAAAAGACAAAAAA
This 3167-nucleotide long non-coding RNA is filed under the name Sus scrofa (pig). RNAcentral describes it as "lncRNA (ENSSSCG00000057477.1)". Lineage: Eukaryota; Metazoa; Chordata; Mammalia; Artiodactyla; Suidae. The record is from RNAcentral.